This 253-nucleotide ribosomal RNA is filed under the name uncultured bacterium. RNAcentral describes it as "partial 16S ribosomal RNA". It matches the Rfam family "Bacterial small subunit ribosomal RNA", at positions 524 to 776 of the family's 1533-position model. The record is from RNAcentral.
UACGUAGGGUGCAAGCGUUGUCCGGAAUUAUUGGGCGUAAAGAGCUCGUAGGCGGUCUGUCGCGUCUGCUGUGAAAACCUAGGGCUUAACUCUGGGCGUGCAGUGGGUACGGGCAGGCUAGAGUGCGGUAGGGGAGACUGGAAUUCCUGGUGUAGCGGUGAAAUGCGCAGAUAUCAGGAGGAACACCGGUGGCGAAGGCGGGUCUCUGGGCCGAUACUGACGCUGAGGAGCGAAAGCGUGGGGAGCAAACAGG